Molecule: ribosomal RNA, 308 nt
Filed under: uncultured soil bacterium
Lineage: Bacteria
Description: bacterial SSU rRNA
Rfam family: Bacterial small subunit ribosomal RNA
Source: RNAcentral
AGGACGAACGCUGGCGGCGUGCUUAACACAUGCAAGUGGAGCGACGAACCAUCUUCGGAUGGGGCAAAGCCGCGAACGGGUGAGUAACACGUGGGUAACCUGCCUUGAUGAUUGGGACAACCCCGGGGAAACCGGGGCUAAUACCAAAUGUGCUCCUUCCUUUGAGGGGAAGGUGGAAAGAAGCUUCGGCCUCCGCAUCGAGAUGGGGCCCGCGGCGCAUUAGCUUGUUGGUGGGGUAACGGCCUACCAAGGCGACGAUGCGUAGCUGGUCUGAGAGGACGAUCAGCCACACUGGGACUGAGACACGG